Molecule: long non-coding RNA, 582 nt
Organism: Bos taurus (domestic cattle)
Lineage: Eukaryota; Metazoa; Chordata; Mammalia; Artiodactyla; Bovidae
Source: Ensembl
GGAAGUUACUCUGCUCCUUUCUGCACAGAACAGGACACUGUGGCUGAUCAUCUUAAUCCCAGUUGGAGUUCUGAAACCUGUUGCCUGCCUGGUUGCCUUUGACUAUGGGGUUGCACAGAGUCAGACACGACUGAAGUAACUUAGCAGCAGCAGCAGCAGCAGCACAUAAGGACUUCUGGAGAAAUGACAGUCCCUUGCUACUGUGUUUAAUUGGAGAGGAUCUCAGAGACCCGAGAUUAUAAUUAUGACGCCCUAAAUGCCAAGCUCUCCAAAAGUCUGCCAUUGCCCUUGCUGUCACCCUGAACAGUUCUGAAAAUUCAAACCCUGCAGCCCCCAGAGCAUGCCCUGGGUUUCUCAGCCACGCCUCACCUGGGAAAUCUGAGUGAUGAUGACGUGCAGGCAGCAGGAAGACACGCAGUAAACCCAGGAGCCUGUGAUGAGCUCAGAAGAGCCUUUGGCACCAAGAUUCCUCAUGGAGGUGGUGUCCUGAGCCUCAAGAGACUCUGUCCAUCACAAGCGUCCCCUGCAUCAGGCUGCCCUGCAUGAUGGAGCUCACCCCUAGGCAGCUUGGCUUUGUAUGGC